GACAAGAAAAAAAAGUUCAUAAGAGUAAAAUACAAUUACUCAAAACUUUCAAACUUUGACCUCAAUAUGUUUUCCGAAUUUCUCAUAAUAUAGCAAUAGGCAAAAAAUAUAAUAUUUAUACUGAUCCAUGCUAUAUAUCUCAUAAAAUAUUUCAAUCGGAUUGUAACGUGAAACUUUUAAAUCGGAUCACAAAUCGAAUCCAUGAAAACAUAUUCAAUUUCCU
RNAcentral lists this unclassified non-coding RNA (223 nucleotides) under Hevea brasiliensis (rubber tree). The record is from RNAcentral. Lineage: Eukaryota; Viridiplantae; Streptophyta; Magnoliopsida; Malpighiales; Euphorbiaceae.